UUACAACAAUGACAAAUAACUUUUAUUAUUUUUUUUGUUAGUCAUAGCUGCUCCAACACGUGUAUUUACAAAUAAUGGCCUUCGUAUGAAAUACAUUUGCAAAUCAAUCUGGUGAAGAGAAAACGCACCAGAGGACGAUAGGAUUAGAACAAGAGACAGGUACAGGGGGAAGAACAAGGAAUAGAGGACAUCACUGGUGGGAAGGGGACAGGACAGAGGAUAGAUGAUAGGGGACAAUAGAAAGAAGACAGGGAUAGGAUAGGGGAAAUGUGACAGUAGAUAGAAAUGUGACAGUAGAUAGGGGAUAUGUGACAGUAGAUAGGGGAUAUGUGACAGUAGAUAGGGGAUAUGUGACAGUAGAUAGGGGAUAUGUGACAGUAGAUAGGGGAUAUGUGACAGUGGAUUGGGGAUAGGUGACAGUGGAUUGGGGAUAGGUGACAGUGGAUUGGGGAUAGGUGACAGGAUAGGGAACGUGGAUAGGUGAUGGGGCAGGGCACAGUGAUGUCAGGUUCAGGCUACAUGGCUGCAGUAACAGAUGCCAAAAGGAAAAGCUCCUCUUGACGGAUUCACUGUUCACCCUGUAACAAAACUGCAUCUAACACUGUACGUCAACAAUUUAAUGGGAAAAAGACACAAGUUAACCAAUGUCUGACAUUUUGAUACAGAAAGAAAACCAACACUCAACAGGCUUUACACAAAUAAACAUUCCAUCUCUGAAAUUCGGAUACAACGACAUGCUGCUGGUGACUACUGAAGGUUCCUCUGAAACCAUUGGAGUGAAGACAAUGAUCACAGACAAACUAACCAUGUACACGGACUCAAAACAGCAGUUGUCUAAACCCCAUUAAUAUGCAAAUACUACUAAGUAAAAGUCUGGUCAAAAGAGCAAGGAGAUGGGAGAGUGUCUGGAUCUGGGGAUGGACAUGGAUGGAUGUAGUGUACUUCUAAUAGCAGAGGCCACACGCACAUACACACGCGCACACAAACGCACAUGCAUACACACAAACACACGCACGCGCGCAAACUUCCUAUUUAUCUUUUCCCCUAACAUUUAUCCUAAACCUCAUUCUAAUCCAAACCCAUCAACCUAAAACGUAUACCCUAACCUAACCCCUAAGCUUCGAAUAUACUUUUUUUGCCAUGGGCCCUGCAAAACAUCCCCAUAAGGUUUAAACUUUCUUGUUUUCCUAUCCUUUACUAACAAAACAAGGCCAAUACACACACACACACACACACACACACACAAAACACACAUCCAAACACGCACAUGAAAGUUGAUGUGAGAUGCACAGCAGAUUCUAAAUGACAGGUACAGACUGUAACAUUGAUCAUCAUUUCCCAUACAAAAAUACAUACAAAAUGAAAUCAACAGUUUUUUUUCAUAUCAAACACUGACUUUUUCUUUUACAACAACAUUAACCAUGUGUCUCCAUUUACUGCAGUUGUCCUUGAAAGAUGUGUGAGAACCACGUCUCCAACACUGUACAUUAUACUGUACAUUACAUUAUAUUAGACUAUGGCUGGAUACACAGUAUCCAUGAGACUGGCUGAUACUUCGCACCGUUGGCUGAAGUGAAAGAUGGCGGUGACAACUCACUCAAGCGUCUCUUAUGCAAAGACUUGGUAAAAACCGAAUCCCACACUGACAGCCAACCGAGGAAGUAGCUUCUCACUGCAAUCCAUCGUCUUUACAAAGAGGUGGGUUCGUGUCAGUAUACUAAGUAGACGGUGUAUUAGAGACUGAAGGGACUGAGGGAAAUAUUGACCCUGUGUUCCUGUGUUUGAGAAGCCCAUUACUAUCGAUCUCAGCCGGGCCUCUCUCUCACCUCAUCGCUCAUUCCAGCCCUCUGGUGGUCGAGUUACCUCCGGGGGGAACUGGACACACAGCCAACCUAUCCCCAUGCUGAAUAGGACACCUCUUUCUGUCUCCCUCACUGCUGGUGGUCGAUUUAUUUCAUUCCAGAAAUAACUAGCGCCUGCCCCGGCCAGUGUGGACGCCCCUCCGCACCACAUCAAAGACACGGCUAAAUUGCACCAGAGCCACAGCUGCUGUGGGAAACUGACGUCUGGAAGGGUUAGGAGGAC
Long non-coding RNA from Esox lucius (northern pike), 2085 nucleotides. The record is from Ensembl. NCBI's taxonomy places the organism in Eukaryota, Metazoa, Chordata, Actinopteri, Esociformes, Esocidae.